This 228-nucleotide unclassified non-coding RNA is filed under the name Funneliformis geosporum. RNAcentral's name for it is "partial contains 5.8S ribosomal RNA and internal transcribed spacer 2". The stretch from base 1 to 72 matches the Rfam family "5.8S ribosomal RNA", at positions 84 to 154 of the family's 154-position model. The record is from RNAcentral. Lineage: Eukaryota; Fungi; Glomeromycota; Glomeromycetes; Glomerales; Glomeraceae.
GUGAAUCAUCGAAUUUUUGAACGCAAAUUGCACUCUCCGGUUUUCCGGGAGAGUAUGCCUGUUUGAGGGUCAGCCUAAAAAAAAUCGACAUUGUUGCUGUUAUUUAAUGGUGACUUUCGUCGGAGAUUGGGUUAUCUUAAACCUUUUUUUUUUUUUGUUUUAACCACUUUAAAUUUUUUUUUCACAUUUCCUUUAAGGUUUUUAAGUUUUUAUUUUUUUAACGUUUUA